AUUGUAGGCUGCAACUCGCCUACAUGAAGUUGGAAUCGCUAGUAAUCGCGAAUCAGAAUGUCGCGGUGAAUACGUUCCCGGGUCUUGUACACACCGCCCGUCACACCACGAGAGUUUACAACACCCGAAGUCAGUGGCCUAACCGCAAGGAGGGAGCUGCCUAAGGUGGGGUAGAUGAUUGGGGUGAAGUCGUAACAAGGUAGC
RNAcentral lists this ribosomal RNA (204 nucleotides) under uncultured bacterium. RNAcentral's name for it is "partial 16S ribosomal RNA". It matches the Rfam family "Bacterial small subunit ribosomal RNA", at positions 1297 to 1500 of the family's 1533-position model. The record is from RNAcentral.